This 1413-nucleotide long non-coding RNA is filed under the name Anser cygnoides (Swan goose). RNAcentral describes it as "lncRNA (ENSACDG00005014790.1)". Lineage: Eukaryota; Metazoa; Chordata; Aves; Anseriformes; Anatidae. The record is from RNAcentral.
CUGCUGGAGGGCUGCUGGCUGGGCAGAGCUGCUGCCCUCCAGGCGUCCCGCACAGCUCCGCACCCCGCAAUGCUGCGGUCCUGCUGGCUGUGGCUCCCCCCCUCACGCUCCCUCUUGGUAUCUCUGUGGCUGCCAGGAUGAGGUGCAGAAGAUGAAGUUCCUGAGGAACAUCGUCACUGUGUGCACAACCGCCCAACAGAAGGGCUUGUUAGAGGGCCUGGACAUCUUCUGCAGCAGAAAUAAGCUGGCACAGAACAUCCAGGUGCUGCUGGACGAGGAGCCCAAGGACAAGCUGUUCACAGCGGUGCGGCAGCAAGCCAUGCUUGCUGUCUCUGCCUUGAGCACAGUGGAGAUGGCGGUGGAGGAUGAAAUGACGUUUCUGUUACUUGCAUCCUUCAAGAGCAUCUUCUUCCUUCCUCCGGAAGAGGAACUCAACAUUCGCCUCUACAGUAUGGUAUGUGCUGGGUGAGCAACAGGAGCGCCCAUAUCUCUUUGAGCUACCUCCUGGCUUGCCUGUAUUUACAGAUGACUGAAGAUCCUUGCUGGGCAGGGUCUCAGCCUUGCUUCACCCCAUCACGUCCCUCUCACCCUUUCCAUCUGCCUGGCUGUAUCCAAUGCUUGAGGCCUGGUCUGCACACAGCACCUUUUCUGCCCUGAGGCCUCCCGUGGGCAGCGCACAGAGCUGCAGCUGUCCUUCCUUGGCAGUAAGGGAUGUGGUGGUUUUGCCCUGCAGGACAUCUGAGUUCCACCACAACUGCUCUCUCACUUUCCCUCCCCAAAGGGAAAGGUGGAGAAAAUAUGAUGGAAAGGGCUCAAGGGUUGAGCUAAGGACAGGGAGAUCCCUCAACAACUAUCAUCAAGGGCAAAACAGGCUCAGAGCAGGGAGAUUAGUAACAUUUAUUACCUAUUUCUAACAAGCUAGAGCAGUGAGUAACUCAAAAAAAAAAAAGGAAACACCUUCCCCCAUCCACCCUAUUUGACGUCCUCCCCUCCAGGGGAACGGGGGAAUGGGGGUUGCAGUCAGUCUAUAACACUUUGUCUCCACCGCUCCUUCACGGUCCCUCUCUGCCCCUGCUCCGGUGUGGGGUCCCUCCCAUGGGAUGCCGUCCUUCACAAAGUGAUCCUGUGUGGGCUUCCCACAGGCAGCAGCUCUUCAAAAACUGCUCCAGUAUGGGUCCGUACCAUGGGGUCCAUCUGUCAGGAGCAAACUGUUCCAACAUAUGUCUCCCAUAGGUAGCAGAUGCCCCCACAUCAACUGCUCCUGCGUGGGCUCCUCUCCACAGGCUGCAGCUCCGGCCCAGGGCCUGCUCCUGCGGGGGCUCUCCAUGGGCCGCAGCCUCCUCCAGGCCACAUCCACCUGCUCCACCGCGGGCUCCUCCACGGGCUGCAGCGUGGAGAUCUGCUCCAUGUGGG